RNAcentral lists this transfer RNA (67 nucleotides) under human gut metagenome. It matches the Rfam family "tRNA". Rfam says of the family: Transfer RNA (tRNA) molecules are approximately 80 nucleotides in length. Their secondary structure includes four short double-helical elements and three loops (D, anti-codon, and T loops). The record is from RNAcentral. RNAcentral also lists the same sequence under 1 other name.
UGGUGUGGCUCAGUGGUAGAGCAAUUGAUUCGUAAUCAAUAGGUCGGCGGUUCAAAUCCGCCCAUCA